GCGGGGGGAGGAGGAGUGGGGGUAGGUUUUGUUCUUUUUUUCAUUCUAGGUCAUUUCUUUGGGGUCGUCUCUGAGAUGGACUUUGUCACCUGGGGUUACCUGGGGCCGAGGCGGCACCAGAGGAAGGACCUCUGGCGUUUCAGUCCUAAGGGCCCCUCAGGCCCGGAGAUGGCCUGGAUGUCAGUGCUGACGAGGCAGUGGCCAAUCAGGGCAGAGAGCGUGGGGAGGUGGUCAGGAUGGCAAAGUCUGGAUCUUCCUUGCUUGCCUCCCAAACCGGGGUCCUUACUGCCACGCUUCCGAGGGUUUCAUCCCCCCCACUCCGUGGGCCGCCCACCCACCCCUCCCCCGCCCAGCAUGUGUCUUCGAGCGGGUCCAACAGCACUGGCAUCUCUGCUCUCACGCCUCCUCCUGCAGCCCUGGGUUUGCAUCUCUCUUUUCCCCUCUCGAGCCCUCUGCCCUCGGGGUCCCCGCUGCGUGGCUGCCCUGGUGGCUCUUCUCUAGGCGCCACUGUCUGCACUGUUUUCUUUGCAUGACUCUAUCUGCAGUAAGUAUGCUGAAAACAAAAGAAAAGAAGAAAAAUCACUCAACAAAACCAAGCUACAUGUUUUGGAUAAAAAAAAAAAUAGAGGUUGUAUUUUCAGUGUCCGACUCGGGAUUACGUUGCUGCCUCUCUGUGCUUUUGGCCUCUGUGUGGCCGUGUUUGCCAGCAUGAGAUACUGUCCCCUCUGGAGGAUUUUAGGGGAGGAAGAGCUGCAUCCCCAGAGCUUUGAAGGAGGCUCUGGUUCCCCAGAACCUCUGGGGAGUCCUGGGUUGAGCAGAGCAGGACAGAUGGGGUUGGGAUCCAGGACGCCUUGAGUUCCCCGAUUGUGAGCUGUCUGCUGGGCCCCUGCUCGCAGCACAGGGGAUGCAGGCUGGGCGGGGGCUGCCCAGCCCGCCUGGCCUCCAAACUGGUCGAUCAACUGGCCUCUAUCCUUGGCAGAGACCCUGCUGCCGAGGCCUACAGUGGGCUCUUGGCCCGCCCCAGGUCCAGAGGGCUUCCCAGUAAGGCCCAGUGAUCCCAGUGCCCCAGCUGCAAAACUGCCUGCCUUCCCGGUGAGCUGCCAGCUCCCACAGCCAUCCCCCGGCCUAAGGUGAGGGGCUGCUGCAAUUACCAAGGCAAAGUCUGGUCCCUUCUUCAGCCUCAGUUUCCCCCUCUGUUAAAGGGGUUUAAUCUUCCAGCCCAGCCUAUUGUCAGGGCUGAUGGGGGAAUCAAACAGGAUGGAGAAGCGAAGCCCAUCCGCCCGCCCGUGGGAGCUGACAGGGUCAUUAGGCUUCCAUCCAUGGCUCUGACCAGACUUGCUGCAUGGAUGAGCCCCUUCCCUGCUGUGGUCCUCGGCUCCCACCAGAGGGAGCUGAGCUGGAGGACUCCCACCUCCCGUCCGCCGUGCCCCUCUCUGGACGCUAGAGAAGUGGGUCCCUACCCCAGGCCAAGGUGGCCAGGCCUGGCGGUGGGCAGCCAGCCAGUGUGGACCACAGGCUACUGGCGUGACCUCGAGGUGGAAGGCAGGGUAGACUGGCAGGCAAAGCGGCCCAGCGCUCACUCUACCAGGCAGGCAAACAUCCCGUCGAUGCAAAAACUCCAGACUUAAGAUGAGUCCGUGACUUAAAAGCACUCGCCUGGAGGUGCGCCCAGCGAGGGCUGGUCCUAACCCACUGCCUCCCGUCUCCCUUCAAAGGGGGACCCUCUGGGGGAUGUGUUUGCCAGACUCCCCGUGCUGGUUUCUUUGUUACUAUUUGUUUGGGGGUUUGUUUCCGUUCUUUUUUUAUAACAUGUGGCUGUGAACUUGAAUGACCACUGCUCAAACUUUCUGCUAUUGUGGGGCUGGGGGGAAGAAGGGGUGUCUGUUUUAUUAUUGGUGUUUUCAGUGCAAUAAAAAGCUACAAACUUC
Phacochoerus africanus (Common warthog) is the source of this 1928-nucleotide long non-coding RNA. RefSeq lists it as uncharacterized. The record is from RefSeq and is a predicted model, not a curated record. Lineage: Eukaryota; Metazoa; Chordata; Mammalia; Artiodactyla; Suidae. The transcript has 2 exons.